UUGUUCAGGGGGAAAGUAAAUGUAAAUUAGCCAUUUUACAUCUUGUGAUCUAUAGUGAUGUGAAAAUAAUGUUUCUUUAGCUGUUUACAAGGGUACCAUAUGGUCAGGUAUCCAUUAGAGUGGGUGGAUUCAGGGUCGUCCUAAAGAUCCAGAAAUUCAAAAUCUCAGUUUGCACUUAGGUUUGGACCUGAGGCCCUUGGUUUGUACGCCAAGUGCUUUACCACUCAGCCACCACAUCCCAUAGGUCAGGGUAACCUAAGCUCAAUAAGCACAAAGAUAUGACCUGUGAAACCUUAAAAUGAGAAAUACAAUGUCACAGUAAUACAAUCAGUUAAACUCCUGCUUUGUAAACCCUCAGUUAAAACAUUUUGGAACCUAGGUUAUUUUGAAUUGGCGUAACCCUUUUUUUUCAUGAUCUGCUGGGAAAGGAUACUCAAUUUUUUUAUUUUUUUUUUGUUGACAAUGUCUCAAAGCUCUUUGGCAAGAAUUUGUUAAGAUUAUCAUUUAAUUUUUUACUUAAGUAAUCUUUCAGCUUCGAUGUUCUAUACAAAAAUAUUAGUUUUCAAUCAUUAUUUGAGACUUGUACAAGUCUAAGCUUUAAUGUAUCCCAUCAAUUAUUUGAAAUAUUUUGUUCUCUUUUAAGGUUUUGCUUAACUUGUUUAUACUUAUUUUUUUUUUUUUUUUUU
Molecule: non-coding RNA, 686 nt
Organism: Biomphalaria pfeifferi
Lineage: Eukaryota; Metazoa; Mollusca; Gastropoda; Planorbidae
Source: the annotation of a GenBank genome assembly